This 597-nucleotide ribosomal RNA is filed under the name uncultured bacterium. Its description in RNAcentral is "partial 16S ribosomal RNA". The stretch from base 10 to 513 matches the Rfam family "Bacterial small subunit ribosomal RNA", at positions 33 to 541 of the family's 1533-position model. The record is from RNAcentral.
UUCCCNUANACGCNACGGCAUCCCUAACCAUGCANGUCGAGGGGUAAUCACGCUUUCGGGCGUGAACGACCGGCGCACGGGUGCGUAACGCGUAUGCAACCUACCUUUAACUGGGGAAUAGCCCGGAGAAAUUCGGAUUAAUACCCCAUAACAUUUCGAAAUCACAUGGUUUUGAGAUUAAAGCUCCGGCGGUUAAAGAUGGGCAUGCNUGACAUUAGCUAGUUGGNGAGGUAACUGCUCACCAAGGCUACGAUGUCUAGGGGGUCUGAGAGGAUGAUCCCCCACACUGGUACUGAGACACGGACCANACUCCUACGGGAGGCAGCAAGUGAGGAAUAUUGGGCAAUGGACGCAAGUCUGACCCAGCCAUGCCGCGUGCAGGAUGAAUGCCCUAUGGGUUGUAAACUGCUUUUAUNNGGGAAGAAACCCUCCUCGUGAGCGGGGCUGACGGUCCAAAAAAUAAGCAUCGGCUACUCCGUGCCANCANCCGCGGUAAUCCGANGAUGCAAGCGUUUCCGGAUUUAUUGGUUUAANGGGGCCAGGCNGGAAUUAANUCANNGGNAAAUCUNACUUACUGCAAACUGCUUGAACUGAUUU